CAAAUGAAGUAAAUUAUUAUGUAUCAAGAUUGGUUUCAAGAAAAAUACUUCACAACUCCAGAGUCUCACAGUCUGCGUUCAGAUUUGAUAAGAUUCAUAAUAGGAGCUAUUCAUCCUACUAACGAUAUGCUUUGUUCAGACAUUAUUCCACGAUGGGCUGUCAUCGGUUGGUUAUUGACCUCAUGUACAAAUGCAGUAGCUCAGGCUAAUGCUAAACUUGCUUUGUUUUACGACUGGUUGUUUUUCGAUCCACUUAAGGAUAACAUAAUGAAUAUUGAACCGGGCAUCCUAGUUAUGUACCAUUCUAUUAAAAAUCACCCGUUGGUUAGCUGUACUUUACUUGAUUUCCUGUGCAGAAUAAUGAAAAAUUUCUAUCCCAGAGGAGAAGACAAAGUACGCGCUGGAAUUUAUAAUUCAUUACGAAUUAUUCUCGAGAAACAGGUUAUACCAAACCUUUUACCAUUGUUGGAGUCUGUUAAAUUAGAUCGUGAAUUGAAAACAAUGCUACGAGAAAAUUUUCGAGAGUUUUUCGCAUUCACACCUGCUUCUCCUAAUUCAUUCAGCGCGGCGAACCCUGUAAAAAUAGUUACAGAUGAAGAGCAAAAUUUUCCAAGUGAUUCUAGCAAGGAUUUUUGGAAUAUUUGUCCAGAGUAUGUAAGCUAUAAUGCGACAGUAGAGUUACAAAAAUUCAGUGAUGACGAGGAUGAUAACACUAGAAUAAUGAAUACAAAGGAUGAACCGUCUGAUGACGACGACUUACCACUUUCUAAAGUAAUGAGAAUGGAAAAACCAGUCAUCCAAUCGCUUCCCGAGGAUUUGUUACAAUUCAUAGAUGCCUUCGUUUUAUCACAAAAAUCUGAUGACUUUGAAUCAAUUCUAAUGUCACUCAAUGCGCCGUCAUGCCUCCUCAGCGUGGAACAAGAGCUGUAUAUUCAUGAAAGAAUCAUAUCUACGCUAAAACAAACAUUAGAUGAUUGUUCAAUAUAUCCGGAAUCUAAAUCUGACGAAUGCCUUUCAGAAAGUAUUAGUCAUCCGUUAUGUUGUCUUUUCAAAGUGCUGUAUCACACGGAGGAAAAAUGUAAAAGAUAUGUGAUAAAUUUAUUAAUAGCUACAUGUAAUCAGAUACCAAGCAUCGGCUAUUUAUUACUACAUUUCCUCAAAGUUUAUGCGAAAUUACAAGCACGGCGGAAGGAAAACUCAACUUCUACAUUGAAAGGCAGCGUUUAUAAAUAUUUCUGUACACUUAUCAACUCUGAAUUCGAGUGUCAAUUGAAGCAGGACCUCACCAUGUUGGAAAAAACAGAUUCGGAAAUGUUCUUUUGGAUACUGCCGGACUUAUUCAAAGAGUACAGAGGUGUAAUGAUAAACAACACGGAUAUUUUUGAAUUAUUCAUAGGAGCCGUUGAUGCAACAAAUUUACGUGAUGUUAUAUUCAGUGUGACUCAAGGAAAGCUCGUUAUAUUAAACAACGAUAACAUAAUUGGUGUGAUUCGAAAAAGUCUCGAAUUCGAGACGUUUGAGCAAUUUUGCUUCUGGCAACUUAUACAAGCUCACGAUGUUCCACUAGAAUCUUUUCAGGAUAUUCUUCCUGAACUGGACCCGACGUUGCAUGCGGAAGCGUUAACGUACAUUCUAUUGUUAUUAAAAAAUGAAAAGCCAUCAACAAGUUUGAUGAAAUGUCUACUUAGUCGAGAUUCCAGAUGUAAAGCAGAUGCAUUUGUCAUUUCAGUACUCAGAUGUUGGUGUGAUGAGUACGAGAGUAAGCUGUCAGAAAUAAUAGCUGGUCUUUUGACAUCGAGAUAUCCUUCGUGCUCUCCAAACAAACGUAAACGUCCUCUGAAAGCGUCUCCAUCACAAAGCUGCACACCAACUUCCGAGCAGAUUCUACAUCAUCUGGAGCAUUUCCGUCGUAGUUGUAGACAUGGUAAUGGAACGGGAACAGGCCUUUAUGUUCAAAACGAGAUGCAAAGGUCGCUGCAGCAAGCAUUUGCUCAUAGCACCGACAGUCAAAAGAUGUUGGUGUGAUGAGUACGAGAGUAAGCUGUCAGAAAUAAUAGCUGGUCUUUUGACAUCGAGAUAUCCUUCGUGCUCUCCAAACAAACGUAAACGUCCUCUGAAAGCGUCUCCAUCACAAAGCUGCACACCAACUUCCGAGCAGAUUCUACAUCAUCUGGAGCAUUUCCGUCGUAGUUGUAGACAUGGUAAUGGAACGGGAACAGGCCUUUAUGUUCAAAACGAGAUGCAAAGGUCGCUGCAGCAAGCAUUUGCUCAUAGCACCGACAGUCAAAAGAAAUACUUCGCAGAUCUGUUUGCAUUGGCUGCUGAGGAUGAAACGAUAGGUACAAUAGGACGAAGAAGUACUAGUAGUCGAGGCAGGAAGGUUGUGGCAAAUAAAAAAGACCCAUCUCCGUUUAACAAUAAUGCAAAGAAGACUCAAGACACUUACGCUAGCGAUGACUCUACAGAUGAUGACUGGUCGAAACACAAAACUGGGAAACGACGUAAGAAGGCCUUUAGUGACUCAGACUGAUUGCAUUCUACUUUAUAUUUUCAAUGAUAAUCUGUGUAACAAUAUAAAAACAAAAAUACUGGUUAACCAGAGUUAACGGUCUCUUUCGUGAGCGAUAUUUUUAGAGUCUCCCUCAGUGUGUAACAAUUAUUUUGUUUUUUUUUUUAAAUUUUUAUCACGAAAAAAUCGCAUUCAUUUAUAUUUUAUGUUAUUCAUUCGGAAUAAACGAGCUUGAGCUUGAGCUUGGGUAGACUGUA
Toxorhynchites rutilus septentrionalis is the source of this 2766-nucleotide RNA transcript. It is a transcript of the gene named integrator complex subunit 3 homolog, with no coding region annotated. The transcript has 12 exons. The record is from RefSeq and is a predicted model, not a curated record. Lineage: Eukaryota; Metazoa; Arthropoda; Insecta; Diptera; Culicidae.